UGAACUGUUCCAGUUGCCAUUGUUUGC
This 27-nucleotide non-coding RNA is filed under the name Mus musculus (house mouse). The record is from RNAcentral. Lineage: Eukaryota; Metazoa; Chordata; Mammalia; Rodentia; Muridae.